Molecule: non-coding RNA, 32 nt
Filed under: Homo sapiens (human)
Lineage: Eukaryota; Metazoa; Chordata; Mammalia; Primates; Hominidae
Source: RNAcentral
GACCAGCCUGGCCAACAUGGUGAAACCCCGCC